AUCAAUACAAGUAUUCCGUAGUCAACGGGACGCACAGGUAUCCCGGACUAAAUCAAACAACAUCACCUGGAUCGAAGUGCAGUGUCCGAUACAGCGUAACAGUUCAGACUGCGGAUACUUUGUAUUGAGGUUUAUGAAAGAAAUCAUUCAGGCGAAUCAAUUAGAGAUUCCUCCCACGUACCUUGACGAAUUCCGUGCUGCUGGGUACUCGAAGCUAAAGUUAGAAGAAAUCAAAGAGGAAUUGUGUCAAUUUUAUAUUAAGCAAUUUUUCAUGCAGAUUUGAACUAUAAUAUUGUUGAUUUUGUAAUGAUGUAUAUAUAUAAUUUUGUAAUGAUGUAUAUAUAUAAUUUUGGAUAUU
Long non-coding RNA from Vicia villosa (hairy vetch), 358 nucleotides. RefSeq lists it as uncharacterized. The transcript is spliced from 3 exons. The record is from RefSeq and is a predicted model, not a curated record. Lineage: Eukaryota; Viridiplantae; Streptophyta; Magnoliopsida; Fabales; Fabaceae.